RNAcentral lists this transfer RNA (73 nucleotides) under Camelus ferus (Wild Bactrian camel). It matches the Rfam family "tRNA". Rfam says of the family: Transfer RNA (tRNA) molecules are approximately 80 nucleotides in length. Their secondary structure includes four short double-helical elements and three loops (D, anti-codon, and T loops). The record is from Rfam by way of RNAcentral. Lineage: Eukaryota; Metazoa; Chordata; Mammalia; Artiodactyla; Camelidae.
GAGGGUGUAGCUCAAGUGGUAGAGUGCAUUCUUAGCAAGCAUGAGGUCCUGGGCUCAAUCCCCAGCGUCUCCU